Molecule: long non-coding RNA, 1067 nt
Organism: Patella vulgata (common limpet)
Lineage: Eukaryota; Metazoa; Mollusca; Gastropoda; Patellidae
Exons: 5
Source: RefSeq, a predicted model, not a curated record
GUAUCUCCACCAAGUAUAAUAUACCUAAAUAUAAAUAGAAGCGGAAAUAUUUCAUAGUGUUUCCCUGUAUUAUCAUACAGAAUCAAAAGGUUAUCGACAUUUCAAAUCUACUUGGUCAAACAAAGGAUCAUUAUGGCUGUACCCUUGAACAAAGAUUAUCUGCCUUACCACUUACAAAAGUAUAAUGAUCACGAACCAACCCUACGAACGCAUCUUGCUGGCCAGAUAAGUAACAUUGCACGAGAUUUAAAACAUCGCAAUGUCCUGCAAGAUCACCAGUUGAAGAGAAUUUUGACAGGAGUAGAUAUAAACCCAGAAGAUUGUGUAUCAGAACUAAUUAACACACUGAAAGAAUACAAAGGUGGCCAUUUUGAUGUCUUUAUGGACUGUUUAACAUCUUUUGGUUAUGGGGAGUUAGUAAAGAACAUAAAAGACGAUUCGGGAGCAGGUCCGGUAACUAGAAGCCAGACACAGCCAAGAGCCCACGGGGAAGUCGCAAGCUACAGAGGGCCGGUAACAGGAAUCAAGGUACAGCAAAGUACCCACCCGGAAGUCAAAGAGUAUACAGGUUUCCAAAAAGGAGUGAUGAAUGCCGAUGAUAUGAAAGUAUGGAUAUCAAACACCGAACGUAUUGUACAAGAUUUUCAAAGGAGCCUUGGCGACGUUAUGAUGCAAUUAUAUCAAGCCCACAUUAUAGACAUGAAUGAUAAAACUCGAAUCGAAAGGACAACUAAAGACAAAUACGAAGCAGAUGCAGCAAGAGACUUAGUGGAUCUUCUUGCAAAUCGUGGUCCUAAUGUCCUCAGAAGAAUCAUAAAGGCCCUGUCACCAGAAUAUAACAUAGCAAAAGUCCUAGAAGAUGCAUUAAACAGUUAAAAUUUACAAUUUUCUGUGUCAUGGCUGAUCAUUGUAUAUUUAUCAUUAGUAUUUUGUAUAUCAGUCAAAUCACGAUCUUUUCAAUUUUGUGACAGGCAUUGCGUCAUUUUAGCAUUUUUUUUAUAUUGUAAUCUUAAACUGAAUGAACUAUGUGAAUUAUUUGGAAUGAAUAUAAAUGUAUCACUUUGCUU